Molecule: ribosomal RNA, 300 nt
Filed under: uncultured Hebeloma
Lineage: Eukaryota; Fungi; Basidiomycota; Agaricomycetes; Agaricales; Cortinariaceae
Description: eukaryotic LSU rRNA
Rfam family: 5.8S ribosomal RNA (bases 1-59)
Source: RNAcentral
AUCUUUGAACGCACCUUGCGCUCCUUGGUAUUCCGAGGAGCAUGCCUGUUUGAGUGUCAUUAAAUUCUCAACCUUUAUCACUUUUUGCUGAUAAUGGCUUGGAUAUGGGGGUUUAUUUUGCUGGCUUCUUUACGGAUGGUCAGCUCCCCUUAAAUGCAUUAGCCGGUGCCCCGCGUGGACUGUCUAUUGGUGUGAUAAUUAUCUACGCCGUGGACAUCUGCAAUUAUAUGGGUUUGCACUGCUUCCAACCGUCUGUUCAAUCAGACAAUACAUGACAAUUUGACCUCAAAUCAGGUAGAC